AAUCAAGGGAGAGUAGGUAAUACCGGCUUUACGGGCGAAUAUGACGUUUUAGACCGAAAAAUGAGAUAAACCGUUGGAAUUGCGAGUGACGGAUUUAUUUUUGAAAACGUUCCAUGAUUAUGUAAGUCCUUCACUGAGACACGUCGGACUCGUUUUAGACACGGAGCACAGCGACGGUUCUAUAGGUUUUUACUAUGCGUGUGCGUGUGUGUUAUUUUUUUUUUUCGUGUCUGUGAGCACAUUUUUACCACAAAUUUCGCAUCAGUCUAUCAAGUGGUGUAACACCUUUUUCCGAAAGGAAAUUUAACUUGGCCGGUGCAUUGCAUAUGCUGAUUUGUAUUCGUCU
This is a non-coding RNA of Cinara cedri, 346 nucleotides long. The record is from the annotation of a GenBank genome assembly. NCBI's taxonomy places the organism in Eukaryota, Metazoa, Arthropoda, Insecta, Hemiptera, Aphididae.